Molecule: ribosomal RNA, 552 nt
Filed under: uncultured bacterium
Lineage: Bacteria
Description: bacterial SSU rRNA
Rfam family: Bacterial small subunit ribosomal RNA
Source: RNAcentral
GNNUUGCGCAUGGCGCGACAGCCUGCGCACGACGCCGCGUGGGGGAUGAAGGUCUUCGGAUUGUAAACCCCUUUCGGCAGGGAAGAUGGAACGGGUAACCGUUCGGACGGUACCUGCAGAAGCAGCCACGGCUAACUUCGUGCCAGCAGCCGCGGUAAUACGAAGGUGGCAAGCGUUGUUCGGAUUUACUNGGGCGUACAGGGAGCGUAGGCGGUUGGGUAAGCCCUCCGUGAAAUCUCCGGGCCUAACCCGGAAAGUGCNGGAGGGGACNUGCUCGGCUAGAGGAUGGGAGAGGAGCGCGGAAUUCCCGGUGUAGCGGUGAAAUGCGUAGAGAUCGGGAGGAAGGCCGGUGGCGAAGGCGGCGCUCUGGAACAUUUCUGACGCUGAGGCUCGAAAGCGUGGGGAGCAAACAGGAUUAGAUACCCUGGUAGUCCACGCCUUAAACGAUGGAUACUAAGUGUCGGCGGGUUACCGCCGGUGCCGCAGCUAACGCAUUAAGUAUCCCGCCUGGGAAGUACGGCCGCAAGGUUGAAACUCAAAAAAAUUGACGGA